CCUACGGGAGGCUGCAGUGAGGAAUAUUGGUCAAUGGGCGAGAGCCUGAACCAGCCAAGUCGCGUGAGGGAAGACGGUCCUAUGGAUUGUAAACCUCUUUUGCCGGGGAGCAAAAAGCGGUACGUGUACCGCCUCGAGAGUACCCGGCGAAAAAGCAUCGGCUAACUCCGUGCCAGCAGCCGCGGUGAUACGGAGGAUGCGAGCGUUAUCCGGAGUUAUUGGGUUUAAGGGGUGCGCAGGCGGGGCGUUCAGUCAGCGGUAAAAUUUCGGGGCUCAAACCGGACGAGCCGUUGAAACUGGUGUGCUAGAGUGGGAGAGAAGUAUGCGGAAUGCGUGGUGUAGCGGUGAAAUGCAUAGAUAUCACGCAGAACUCCGAUUGCGAAGGCAGCAUACCGGCGCCCAACUGACGCUCAGGCACGAAAGCGUGGGUAUCGAACAGGAUUAGAUACCCCGGUAGUC
Molecule: ribosomal RNA, 459 nt
Filed under: uncultured bacterium
Lineage: Bacteria
Description: partial 16S ribosomal RNA
Rfam family: Bacterial small subunit ribosomal RNA
Source: RNAcentral